RNAcentral lists this ribosomal RNA (223 nucleotides) under uncultured bacterium. RNAcentral's name for it is "partial 16S ribosomal RNA". It matches the Rfam family "Bacterial small subunit ribosomal RNA", at positions 110 to 334 of the family's 1533-position model. The record is from RNAcentral.
UAAUAGUCUGGGAAACGUGCCUGAUGGAGGGGGAUAACUAACUGGAAACGGUAGCUAAUACCGCAUAAUGUCGCAAGACCAAAGUGGGGGACCUUCGGGCCUCAUGCCAUCAGAUGUGCCCAGAUGGGAUUAGCUAGUAGGUGGGGUAACGGCUCACCUAGGCGACGAUCCCUAGCUGGUCUGAGAGGAUGACCAGCCACACUGGAACUGAGACACGGUCCAG